GAUGAACGCUGGCGGCGUGCCUAAUACAUGCAAGUAGAACGCUGAAGGAAGGAGCUUGCUCUUUCCGGAUGAGUUGCGAACGGGUGAGUAACGCGUAGGUAACCUGCCUGGUAGCGGGGGAUAACUAUUGGAAACGAUAGCUAAUACCGCAUAACAGUAGAUGUUGCAUGAUAUCUACUUAAAAGGUGCAAUUGCACCACUACCAGAUGGACCUUCGUUGUAUUAGCUAGUUGGUGAGGUAACGGCUCACCAAGGCGACGAUACAGAGCCGACCCGAGAGGGUGGUCAGCCGGACUGGGACGGUGACACGGCCCAGUCGCCUACGGGAGGCAGCAGUAGUGAAUCUGCGGCAAUCGGCGGAAGACUGACCGCGAUGCGCCGCGUGAGUGAAGAAGGUUGUCGGAUCGUAAAGCUCUGUUGUAAGAUAAGAACGAGUGUGAGAGUGGAAAGUUCACAGUGUGACGGUAUCGUACCAGAAAGGGACGGCUAACUACGUG
Molecule: ribosomal RNA, 497 nt
Filed under: uncultured bacterium
Lineage: Bacteria
Description: partial 16S ribosomal RNA
Rfam family: Bacterial small subunit ribosomal RNA
Source: RNAcentral